UAUCUAUGAGUCCUCGAGAUAGACUAUCCUUCGAUACUUCGACUUUAAGAAAGGGAGAAAAUAUAACCUCGUUAUCUGAGGUCAAUCAAUUAGCAAGAUAGGCCACAACUUGGGACUCAACAAUCUCCCCGUCCAAGUUGAAAUCUCCUGCGCUGACUCUUUUUUGAAUCCGAAGGCCAAUAAGCAGGGCGUUUUAGGCUCUUCUCUCAUCGCUGAACCAGAUUUUCAUAGGCAUAACUCUGAUCUUCUCUAACAAAUGCAGAACUUCAUCUCGAGGCAGCUUUAGAAAAGAUAAAACUCUGGAUGGAAGUAAUGACUCAAAUUCAGCAGAUCAGACGCUCUCCUUUGGUUUAGAUUGCUCCUUUACUAACCUCCCAACCUACACAGUGUUCUCGCACUAUAAGUUUUCUAUCUUUGUACACCACUAAAGUGAAUCCCAACAAAACCCUUUCCUUUUAUAUAAAAUUAUGUUCCCUCAGCUCUUAGUUUUUCAAUCUUAAAGGCUUGUUGAUCAGGGACCUGCACAGGGACUGAACGAUCUCCUACAAAAAUUAGAGUUUUCUCAAGACGGGAGCAUUUGGACAAGUCAACUUUUCUCUUUUUAAAGGCCCACCAAAGACUCUGCAACUAAAAUGCUAUCCUAAAAAAGGUAAUGCAAAAUCCUUAUCAUAAGAGGAAGAAUUCCCGCAAAAACAUUGUUGAAAGUCAAAAUUACUCAUCUUGGUAGCAUCAUGAGCACAAUCAUUGAUUAGGAAUCCUGUCGAGGCGACAUUUUCCUGACUCUUUGGGAGACAAGUUUCUAGAAAAAGACAUAAUUAAAUGGUUAAAGGUUUUAAAAAGUCCGUAGUCCUGCUAACAUGAUACGAAAUUGAACAACCAGAGUUUCCUUUUUAUUACAUCAUAGCCUCCAAAAAUGGGUAAAAAAUUACAUGGUAUAAAAUUAAAAAGUCUGUUACAAAACACAACAAAUUCAAAACUAGGAUAAAUUGAGGCCAAAAGAUGUGUGCCAUUAUGGAAGCCACACCCCCAUAUCCAAGAUAUGUCAAACUCGAGGACUUAUGGGUUGCCAGAAUCCUAAAAGGGAAAAAAGUGUUACAUAGGCCAACUCUUUUUAUGCUUGUAACUAGCUCUGCCCGUGAUGAUCAACAACUUAAGGGAGGAUAAAAAGGCCCUCAUAAAUACUCUAGAAAGAAAAGAACCCAUAGGACAACUACCCCUAUCUUAUACAUACAGUGUCAUGUAACUCAACAAAUGCAAGAAGGCUGCAAGUAGGUCAAGGUUCUCCCCGUCUCAGGUUCUCUUAUUGAAGGCUAAUGGGAGUACCUCAUAUCACAGUCUCCACAUAGUAGCAAAACACCUUGAUUGGUACUUGCAUCCUAGUCAAGGUGCCUUAAGGAUAAGUUUCUGGCAUGCCUAAUGAUGGAAGUCUCGACACCCUCAAUAGAGGUUAGGGUUGUUGAGGAGGGGAAUAGUGGUUGGGAUGUUCUCUGCCACCCUCACCUCUGGCCUUCCCAUUGUUGUUACCUUACUCUUAUCAUAAAUUCGAGCAUGUAUAAUAUAGACAGUUCACCAUAAUCAAAGACAAGAAUGAGGAAAGGACUAUAGGAAAAACAAAGGGCGAGUAUAGUCGUCCUAGAGGGCAUCCCAUUGGAAGACUUCUCUUUUUCUUUCUACUCUCUUAUUUUCUUCUUCUUUUAGCUAUAUGAUAAAAAGGCAAGAAAUAUAUGAGGGUGAGGUUAGGAGGCACAAUUUUUAAUAGGUAAAUGCCCAUUGAAUGAGUGAGAAGUAAAAGGCCUCAGAUCCUUGUAACAUGGACAACCAAUAACGUGAGAUAUAACAAGCCUAAG
This 1847-nucleotide long non-coding RNA is filed under the name Capsicum annuum. RNAcentral describes it as "long non-coding RNA (CANN_LNC014234)". The record is from RNAcentral. Lineage: Eukaryota; Viridiplantae; Streptophyta; Magnoliopsida; Solanales; Solanaceae.